UCAUUAUUGAAAACAAGGGUGUCCAAUUUAACUUGGAACCCAAACUUCUCAAUUCUAACUUUGUGCAUCUGUAUUAAUGGCGAGCAACUUCGGUUGUGAGCCUUCACUUACAAAACACUAGUCUAUGAAUGUAAAAUUUUUAUAACAAAUAAAAACUUUCAACAACGGAUCUCUUGGCUCUCGCAUCGAUGAAGAACGCAGCGAAAUGCGAUACGUAAUGUGAAUUGCAGAAUUCAGUGAAUCAUCGAAUCUUUGAACGCAUCUUGCGCUCUCUGGUAUUCCGGGGAGCAUGUCUGUUUGAGUGUCAUGAAUUCUUCAACCCAAUCUUUUCUUGUAAUCGAUUGGUGUUUGGAUUCUGAGCGUUGCUGGCUUUAUUGCUCAGCUCGUUCGUAAUACAUUAGCAUCCCUAAUACAAGUUUGGAUUGACUUGGCGUAAUAGACUAUUCGCUAAGGAUUCGGUGGAAACAUCGAGCCAACUUCAUUAAGGAAGCUCCUAAUUUAAAAGUCUACCUUUUGAUUAGAUCUCAAAUCAGGCAGGAUUACCCGCUGAACUUAAGCAUAUCAAUAAGCGGAGGAA
Molecule: ribosomal RNA, 577 nt
Filed under: uncultured Sporidiobolales
Lineage: Eukaryota; Fungi; Basidiomycota; Microbotryomycetes; Sporidiobolales
Description: eukaryotic LSU rRNA
Rfam family: 5.8S ribosomal RNA (bases 154-307)
Source: RNAcentral